AGCAGUGUGGCAUAAUGGUUAGAGAACUGGACUUGCAACUCUGAGGUCAUGGGUUUGAUUCCCAGAUGUGACACUGCUG
RNAcentral lists this transfer RNA (79 nucleotides) under Anguilla anguilla (European eel). RNAcentral's name for it is "tRNA-OTHER". The record is from RNAcentral. Lineage: Eukaryota; Metazoa; Chordata; Actinopteri; Anguilliformes; Anguillidae.